UGGGGAAUAUUGGACAAUGGAGGAAACUCUGAUCCAGCAAUUCUGUGUGUGUGAAGAAGGUUUUAGGACUGUAAAACACUUUUAGUAGGGAAGAAAAAAAUGACGGUACCUACAGAAGAAGCAACGGCUAAAUACGUGCCAGCAGCCGCGGUAAUACGUAUGUUGCGAGCGUUAUCCGGAAUUAUUGGGCUUAAAGGGCAUCUAGGCGGUAAGACAAGUUGAAGGUGAAAACCUGUGGCUCAACCAUAGGCUUGCCUACAAAACUGUUGAACUAGAGUACUGGAAAGGUGGGUGGAUCUACACGAGUAGAGGUGAAAUUCGUAGAUAUGUGUAGGAAUGCCGAUGAUGAAGAUAACUCACUGGACAGAAACUGACGCUGAAGUGCGAAAGCUAGGGGAGCAAACAGG
RNAcentral lists this ribosomal RNA (407 nucleotides) under Verrucomicrobiota bacterium. RNAcentral describes it as "Verrucomicrobia bacterium partial 16S ribosomal RNA". It matches the Rfam family "Bacterial small subunit ribosomal RNA", at positions 355 to 776 of the family's 1533-position model. The record is from RNAcentral. Lineage: Bacteria; Pseudomonadati; Verrucomicrobiota.